AACGGAAAUCGUUUCAUCACCACCACCCCAUUAAUCCAUCUCUGCGCCAUGAAUUCUUCUUUAAUUGCAAGACCUCUGUUUCCGGCGAUCUUACCUCCGCGAAGUUGAUCAACUCCGCCGGUGAGCCUGUGAACCGUUCCUCUGAAACCGCCGAUUCCUCUGUCGUAGCUAGGCCAAAAAGAGGCAUAACUGAUGACUCCUCCGCCAACGCUGUCGCCGGUGUUGUGGGAAAACCAUUUAGAUUUUAUUAAUGUGGAAUCAAGAACCAUCCCGACAAGGGUGGAGAUCCUGAGAAGUUCAAAGAGCUAGCACAGGCGUAUGAAGUUCUGAGCGACCCAGAGAAGAGAGAGAUAUAUGAUGAGUACGGAGAGGAUGCACUGAAGGAAGGAAUGGGUGGUGGAGGAGGUGGGCAUGACCCUUUUGAUAUCUUCUCAUCUUCUUUGGCGGUGGCAGCCCCUUUGGAGGUGGUAGCAGCAGAGGAGGCAGAGGCGUGGUGAAGAUGUUGUUCUGAUCUCACAAAUACA
Long non-coding RNA from Raphanus sativus (radish), 524 nucleotides. RefSeq lists it as uncharacterized. The record is from RefSeq and is a predicted model, not a curated record. The transcript has 3 exons. NCBI's taxonomy places the organism in Eukaryota, Viridiplantae, Streptophyta, Magnoliopsida, Brassicales, Brassicaceae.